UUGCUGGAUGGCUUUAAUAGUGAGACACUUUGGGAUACAAAUGAAAAGAUGAUUAACAGGGCAAAUUUGUAAAUGGAAGUAUUUAUAAUUUGACACUACUUGAAUGCAUUUAAUUGUUCAAAUCCGUUUAUGCCUUUGCAUCGCUCUGUUCCAGUUUCAAGACUUUAGACAGAGUUAAGGAAGAUAACUUGAGAUGUGAUAAAGAUACCAGAAGUCAAGAAGAACCUGCCCCUCGUUAGAAAGAUGAUAGAAACCACAUUUCCCCUACACCAACAGACCAUAGUGAUGUCCUCCCCACCAGUGAACAAGCUCAUGCACCUCUGGCCUGCUCUCAAAAUAGAGUCUGAGUUGUUUGCAGA
Etheostoma cragini (Arkansas darter) is the source of this 359-nucleotide long non-coding RNA. RefSeq lists it as uncharacterized. The record is from RefSeq and is a predicted model, not a curated record. Lineage: Eukaryota; Metazoa; Chordata; Actinopteri; Perciformes; Percidae. The transcript is spliced from 3 exons.